This 639-nucleotide ribosomal RNA is filed under the name Symplectoscyphus tricuspidatus. RNAcentral describes it as "partial 16S ribosomal RNA". It matches the Rfam family "Bacterial large subunit ribosomal RNA", at positions 1796 to 2619 of the family's 2925-position model. Lineage: Eukaryota; Metazoa; Cnidaria; Hydrozoa; Leptothecata; Sertulariidae. The record is from RNAcentral.
UCGACUGUUUACCAAAAACAUAGCCCUAGAAAAUAUCUAAGGUGUAACCUGCCCAAUGAUCUUUAAUUUAAAUAAAUAAAAAUUAUUAAAAAAGAUUAAAAGGACGCGGUAACCUUGACCGUGAUAAUGUAGCAUAAUCAUUCGCCAUUUAAUUGAUGGAUAGUAUGAACGGUUGAACGAAUAUUACACUGUCUUAAAAAGAGGCUUAAUAAAAUUAAAAUAAUAGUUAAGAUGCUAUUUAAAAUUGUAAGACGAAAAGACCCUAUAGAGCUUAACUAUAAUCUCUUUUAAAAAAAUCAAAAUAAAUUGUAAAAUAAAGAGGUAGGUAGUUUAGUUGGGGCGACUAUCUUCUAAAAAUAACGAAGACAAAUAAAGUUAAUAAAAAAACUUAUUGUAUAAUAAAUUAAUUUAACAAUUACAAAAGUAGAAUAUAAUGACCCGCUAUAGAUAAAUAAAAAAUUAUAGCGAUCAAUAAAUAAAAGCUACCUUAGGGAUAACAGGACAAUUUCAUUUUAGAGACCUAAUCAAAGAUGAAGUUUGUCACCUCUAUGUUGAAUUAAGAUAUCCUGACGAUGCAGAAGUCGUCAAAGGUAGGUCUGUUCGACCUUUAAAAUCUUACAUGAUUUGAGUUCAUUCCGU